GCUCCUGGAUUCAGCGGCGGACGGGUGAGUAAUGCCUAGGAAUCUGCCUGGUAGUGGGGGACAACGUUUCGAAAGGAACGCUAAUACCGCAUACGUCCUACGGGAGAAAGCAGGGGACCUUCGGGCCUUGCGCUAUCAGAUGAGCCUAGGUCGGAUUAGCUAGUUGGUGAGGUAAUGGCUCACCAAGGCGACGAUCCGUAACUGGUCUGAGAGGAUGAUCAGUCACACUGGAACUGAGACACGGUCCAGACUCCUACGGGAGGCAGCAGUGGGGAAUAUUGGACAAUGGGCGAAAGCCUGAUCCAGCCAUGCCGCGUGUGUGAAGAAGGUCUUCGGAUUGUAAAGCACUUUAAGUUGGGAGGAAGGGUUGUAGAUUAAUACUCUGCAAUUUUGACGUUACCGACAGAAUAAGCACCGGCUAACUCUGUGCCAGCAGCCGCGGUAAUACAGAGGGUGCAAGCGUUAAUCGGAAUUACUGGGCGUAAAGCGCGCGUAGGUGGUUUGUUAAGUUGGAUGUGAAAUCCCCGGGCUCAACCUGGGAACUGCAUCCAAAACUGGCAAGCUAGAGUAUGGUAGAGGGUGGGUGGAAUUUCCUGUGUAGCGGUGAAAUGCGUAGAUAUAGGAAGGAACACCAGUGGCGAAGGCGACCACCUGGACUGAUACUGACACUGAGGUGCGAAAGCGUGGGGAGCAAACAGGA
RNAcentral lists this ribosomal RNA (700 nucleotides) under Pseudomonas cremoricolorata DSM 17059 = NBRC 16634. Its description in RNAcentral is "bacterial SSU rRNA". It matches the Rfam family "Bacterial small subunit ribosomal RNA", at positions 82 to 777 of the family's 1533-position model. The record is from RNAcentral. Lineage: Bacteria; Pseudomonadati; Pseudomonadota; Gammaproteobacteria; Pseudomonadales; Pseudomonadaceae.